GCUCAUCCGAUCUAAAAGAGUUUAAAGACGACUCAAAAAUUUUGGAAGGAUUUUGCCUUCGAAGUUUGUCAGGCAAAAUUAGCCCACUUGAGUCAUGAGUAUAAAUGAAAUUUGUUUUUUCUGUAAGAAAAUUAAUGCACGUCAUAGUCUAAUUUCUAUUAUUAUCGACAGAAAUUCGAAUCAUUUUCUCGAGCCGUAUGAGGAGAAAACCUCCCAUACGUUUCU
Molecule: long non-coding RNA, 225 nt
Organism: Triticum dicoccoides
Lineage: Eukaryota; Viridiplantae; Streptophyta; Magnoliopsida; Poales; Poaceae
Exons: 3
Source: RefSeq, a predicted model, not a curated record